Molecule: long non-coding RNA, 2592 nt
Filed under: Canis lupus familiaris (dog)
Lineage: Eukaryota; Metazoa; Chordata; Mammalia; Carnivora; Canidae
Description: lncRNA (ENSCAFG00845005696.1)
Source: RNAcentral
CAUGGGCCUUCAUAGCAUGCUCAUGACAAUCUUCAUCAGUCCCUCCUUUGGUAAGCAUCCUGCUUCCAUUCUUGCAGGGCAUGCUACUCAGGAGGUGUGGUGUUUCAGCUAUCAAGGAAUGCUGGCUUUCACAGUCAGGAUUGUGGGGACCCGUGUCCAGUCCCUGUUCUGUCUCUUCUUUAUCCCUAACUUUCUUUCUGAUCUCAUCUCCCACCAUCCUCUGCAAUGGUUUAUAUUGCUCUUAACCACACUGUAAACCACGUUGAUAGUCCUAUAUGAAAUUUCACCACCCUCUGUGCUCUCUCUCACUUUACUUUUUCAUACUUAUUAUCACUUUUUGCAAUAUAAUAUUUAUUUGUUCAUUUGUUUGUUUAUUGUUACUCUUUCUUCCCCCAUAAAAAUGUCUGUCAUCUCCAUGAAAGCAUAUAGCCUGUUUUGUCAACUCUUCUAUCCUAACACCUGAAGGAGUUUCAGUAAGUAUUGGCAAAUGAACGAAUGUAUCUCCUUACCUCCCUACAGAAUCUUUAGUAUAAAACAAACAUUCAUAUUGGUGUCCCAAAAUUGGAUGUCCCUUGGGAAUAAAAUGAAGCUUUAGUAGCGCCUUAAAUAAAUGUAGGGCAGCAUCAGCUCAGCCGCCUCAAUGGUAAUCACUGAACUAGUCAAUUACCCUGGGAAAGCAGAAGAACAGCUCAAAGUGUUUAUAUUCUUGUACUGGGCAGGUAGAGGAAAAAGAAACUGAGAAAUUCUGUGUACUCAUUACUUAUUAAAAUGAUGGCUAUAUACAAUAAAAGAGUUUGGUUAAGUCCUAUACUUUGGAAACCAUAUAAUACUAUUCAAGCAUGUGGCUUUACGGUGAUCUGAUGUAACCGAAAGAUAGAAACUAAGAGGACCAGAUGGACUAAUGUAGGAGAACUGUUCAUCAAAAAUUUCCUUUCUCUCUGGUACACUUUUAUCAGAUGUCGAAAAACAAAUGAUCCGAGGUAGGAAAUGCCACAUAGCAUGUGGAAUUCUCUCUACGUAUAUUCAGAGAGCAAUCAUUUCUGGCUCAUUCCAGUCUAUUCUAAAAACUCUACAAAUUGGCUAAGACCAAUAUUUAAUUCCCGACUACCUUUGCUACUUUUCUUUAGGACUCUUAAAAAGUUUAAUUUUUUCCAGGAUAAUUAUAAUAAAUCUGGUCAAUAUUUUCCUAACUGUAGAAGAGCAAAUUUGCUAGUGGAAAUACAGAAGACUGAGGGAAUUCGAUUUUCUCCUUCAAGCCACUAAAAUGUCUGUCAUUCAGUAAGAAUGAAAUGAGAACAACUAAAAAGGAAAAAAAAAAAAGACACUUUGUUUAGGCCAUUCCACUAAAUCAUUGGUUUUAAAUAAAGUGCAAAAACGGUGGGCCUGGGUGGCUCAAUUGGCUAAGUGGCUGCCUUCAGCUCAGGGUAGGAUCCCAGGGUCCUGAGAUCUAGGGAGCCCUAUGUUCAGCUCCCUGCUCAGUGGGGAGUCUGCUUCUCCCUCUGCAUAUCCCCCUGCUCAUGCUGUCUCUCACACUCAAAUAAAUAAGUAAAAUCUUUCUUUAAAAAUGCAAAAAUGUCUAAUUGCUCUAGACCAUUAGAUCUUAACUGGUAUGGUAUUUUAGAACAAAUUUGAGAGAGCCCCUUAAUUCACUUCUAAAUCUAAAGCCUAAACCAAAGAAACUUUGACGUGUGAAUUUUUCUAUUUCUUAUUCUAUCCACAUAGAUAAUAGCAAGAUUUAUCAAUACCUAGUGCUUUAAACAGCAUGUUGAAUGUUGAUUGAAUGAGGAAAGUCAGUGCAUGAUUUAAUGACUGCACAUAUUAAGAAAGGGAUAUAUUUUAACCUGCAUUCUACUUACAUUGAUAGGAACAUUAAAAAGUUAAGAAAUUGAUGAUAUCUUUUUAGAUGAAACAUCAAAGAUACAACACAUGAAAGAAAUAAUUGAUAAGCAGACUUUAUUAAAAUUAAAAACUUUUGCUCUGCCAAAGACAGUAUCAAGAGAAUGAAAGGUACGCCACAGGCUGGGAGAAAAUAUUUGCAAAAGACACAUCAGAUGGAGGCUGUUUGCAGAAUAUACAAAGAACUCUUAAGGAUCCCCAAUAAUAAAAAUCAAACAACCGAUUAAAAAAUGGACCAAAGACCUUCCUACAGACACCUCACCAAAGAAGAAAUAUAGGAGGCAAAUAAACACGAAAAGACACUUCAUAUUGUAUGUUAUUAAGGAAAUACAAAAUAAAACAAACAAAACAACAAUGAGGUAUCGCUAUACACUUAUUAGAUUGGCCAGAAUCUAUAAACUGACAGCUUUGAAUUCUAGCCAGGAUGUGGAGCAACAAGAAUUCACUGCUGGUGGAAAUGCAAAAUAUUACAGUCAUAGUUUGGCAGUUUCUUAUAAACCUAAAUAUAGGGCAGCCCAGGUAGCUCAGUGGUUUAGCGCUGCCUUCAGCCCAGGGCAUGGUCCUGGAGACUCAGGAUCAAAUCCCAUGUCGGACUCCCUGCAUGGAGCCUGCUUCUCCCUCUGCCUGUGUCUCUGCCUCUCUCUCUGUGUCUCUCAUAAAUAAAUAAAUAAAAUCUAAAAGUAAAAAAAAAAAAAA